AAUCAACCGAGAUUCCGCUAGUAGUGGCGAGCGAACGCGGAAGAGGGCAAACCGGAGGAUUUAUCCUCCGGGGUUGUGGACAGUUUUUUAGCAACUGGAACUAGGAGAACGGUAUGGGAAGGCCGGCCAUAGCGGGUGAUAGCCCCGUAUCCGAAAGGGAAGGUUGUGCGACUGGAUCCAGAGUACCGCCGGACACGUGAAACCCGGUGGGAAGCUGGGGGGACCACCCUCCAACCCUAAAUACUACCUGAUGACCGAUAGAGGAGCAGUACCGUGAGGGAAAGGUGAAAAGGACCCCGGGAGGGGAGUGAAAGAGAACCUGAAACCUUGUGCUUACAAGCACUCAAAGCCCGUUAAAGGGUGAUGAGGUACCUUUUGUAGAAUGGUCCGGCGAGUUAUUGUUACUGGCAAGCUUAAGGCAUUCAGUGCCGGAGGCGCAGGGAGACCGAGUCUGAAUAGGGCGUAUGAAGUCAGUGGCAAUAGACCCGAAACCGGGUGACCUAUCCAUGGGCAGGUUGAAGUGGGGGUAAAACCCCAUGGAGGACCGAACGCACGCCCGUUGCAAUGGUCGGCGAUGACCUGUGGAUAGCGGUGAAAUUCCAAUCGAACUCGGAGAUAGCUGGUUCUCCCCGAAAUAGCUUUAGGGCUAGCGUUGUGUUAGUUUACCGGAGGUAGAGCACUGAAUUGGCUAAGGGGCGAUGAGCUUACUGAACCUUAUCAAACUUCGAAUGCCGGAUAAAUGGUGCACAGCAGUCAGACAGUGUGAGAUAAGUUUCAUUGUCAAGAGGGAAACAGCCCAGACCCACAGCUAAGGUCCCAAAUGAACGCUAAGUGGAAAACGAUGUGGGGUUGCAGAAACAACCAGGAUGUUGGCUUAGAAGCAGCCACUCAUUAAAAGAGUGCGUAAUAGCUCACUGGUCGAGUGACUCUGCGCGGAAAAUAUAACGGGGCUAAGCGUAACACCGAAGCUUGGGCUGCACAGCAAUGUGCGGGGUAGGGGAGCGUCGAAUAUGGGGUGAAGUCGCAGCGGAAGCAGCGGUGGACUGUAUUCGAGUGAGAAUGCCGGAAUGAGUAGCGAGAAUUAUGUGGGAAUCAUAAUGGCCGAAAAUCUAAGGUUUCCUGGGGAAGGUUCGUCCGCCCAGGGUAAGCCGGGAGCUAAGGCGAGGCCGAAAGGCGUAGUCGAUGCACAUACGGUUGAAAUUCCGUAGCCGCCGAAAUUGUUAAGCACAGGGACACAUAGAGAUAUCCGAACCCGGGCGUUGGUCGACCCGGGCGCAAGGGACCGAACAUCAGUAGGGAAGUCGGAGAUGCUCUGUGGCGAGAAAAGCUGUGUGUAUUGAUUAGGCGCCCGUACCGCAAACCGACACAGGUAGAUGAGGAGAGAAUCCUAAGGCCAACGGGAGAAGGGUUGUUAAGGAACUCGGCAAAUUGACCCCGUAACUUCGGGAUAAGGGGAGCCUCCUACGGGAGGCCGCAGUGAAUAGGCCCAAGCAACUGUUUACCAAAAACACAGGUCUCUGCUAAAUCGAAAGAUGACGUAUAGGGGCUGACGCCUGCCCGGUGCUGGAAGGUUAAGAGGAGAUGUUAGCCGCAAGGCGAAGCAUUGAAUCGAAGCCCCAGUAAACGGCGGCCGUAACUAUAACGGUCCUAAGGUAGCGAAAUUCCUUGUCAGGUAAGUUCUGACCCGCACGAAUGGCGUAAUGAUUUGGGCACUGUCUCAACAGCCCGCCCGGCGAAAUUGUAGUACUGGUGAAGAUGCCAGUUACCCGCAACUAGACGGAAAGACCCCAUGGAGCUUUACUGUAGCCUAAUACUGAAGAUCGGUAAUGCAUGUACAGGAUAGGUGGGAGCCAGCGAAACCCGGGCGUCAGCUUGGAUGGAGGCAACCUUGGAAUACCACCCUUGUAUUGCUGGUUUUCUAACCUGCGGCCAUGAAUCUGGUCGGGGGACACUGUUAGGUGGGCAGUUUGACUGGGGCGGUCGCCUCCAAAAGCGUAACGGAGGCGCUCAAAGGUUGGCUCAGCACGGACGGAAAUCGUGCAUAGAGUGCAAACGCAUAAGCCAACUUGACUGCGAGACCGACGGGUCGAGCAGGUACGAAAGUAGGAGUUAGUGAUCCGGUGGUAUGUGAGUGGAAAUGCCAUCGCUCAACGGAUAAAA
Molecule: ribosomal RNA, 2160 nt
Filed under: human gut metagenome
Description: bacterial LSU rRNA
Rfam family: Bacterial large subunit ribosomal RNA
Source: RNAcentral